UACGUAGGGUACAAGCAUUAAUCGGAAUUAUUGGGCGUAAAGGGCGCGUAGGCGGGAAUAUAAGUCAGGUGUGAAAUACCAAAGCUCAACUUUGGUGCUGCACUUGAAACUGUAUUUCUUGAGGAUUGACGGAGAAAGCGGAAUUCCACGAGUAGCGGUGAAAUGCGUAGAUACGUGGAGGAACACCGGUGGCGAAAGCGGCUUUCUAGUUUUUACCUGACGCUGAGGCGCGAGAGCAAGGGGAGCAAACAGG
RNAcentral lists this ribosomal RNA (253 nucleotides) under uncultured bacterium. RNAcentral's name for it is "partial 16S ribosomal RNA". It matches the Rfam family "Bacterial small subunit ribosomal RNA", at positions 524 to 776 of the family's 1533-position model. The record is from RNAcentral.